This 482-nucleotide ribosomal RNA is filed under the name uncultured bacterium. RNAcentral's name for it is "partial 16S ribosomal RNA". It matches the Rfam family "Bacterial small subunit ribosomal RNA", at positions 30 to 507 of the family's 1533-position model. The record is from RNAcentral.
AUUGAACGCUGGCGGCAUGAUUUACACAUGCAAGUCGAACGGUAACAGGCCGCAAGGUGCUGACGAGUGGCGAACGGGUGAGUAAUGCAUCAGAACGUGCCCAGUCGUGGGGGAUAACUACUCGAAAGAGUAGCUAAUACCGCAUACGAUCUAUGGAUGAAAGCGGGGGACCGUAAGGCCUCGCGCGAUUGGAGCGGCCGAUGUCAGAUUAGGUAGUUGGUGGGGUAAAGGCUCACCAAGCCAACGAUCUGUAGCUGGUCUGAGAGGACGACCAGCCACACUGGGACUGAGACACGGCCCAGACUCCUACGGGAGGCAGCAGUGGGGAAUUUUGGACAAUGGGCGCAAGCCUGAUCCAGCAAUGCCGCGUGCAGGAAGAAGGCCUUCGGGUUGUAAACUGCUUUUGUACGGAACGAAACGGCUCUGGUUAAUACCCGGGGCUAAUGACGGUACCGUAAGAAUAAGCACCGGCUAACUACGUG